RNAcentral lists this ribosomal RNA (660 nucleotides) under uncultured Actinomycetes bacterium. RNAcentral's name for it is "bacterial SSU rRNA". It matches the Rfam family "Bacterial small subunit ribosomal RNA", at positions 32 to 709 of the family's 1533-position model. Lineage: Bacteria; Bacillati; Actinomycetota; Actinomycetes. The record is from RNAcentral.
AACGCUGGCGGCGUGCUUAACACAUGCAAGUCGAACGGAAAGGCCUUUCGGGGUACUCGAGUGGCGAACGGGUGAGUAACACGUGGGUGAUCUGCCCUGCACUUUGGGAUAAGCCUGGGAAACUGGGUCUAAUACCGAAUAUGACCACGCUCUUCAUGGGGUGUGGUGGAAAGCUUUUGCGGUGUGGGAUGGGCCCGCGGCCUAUCAGCUUGUUGGUGGGGUAAUGGCCUACCAAGGCGACGACGGGUAGCCGGCCUGAGAGGGUGACCGGCCACACUGGGACUGAGAUACGGCCCAGACUCCUACGGGAGGCAGCGGUGGGGAGUAUUGCACAAUGGGCGCAAGCCUGAUGCAGCGACGCCGCGUGAGGGAUGACGGCCUUCGGGUUGUAAACCUCUUUCACCAGGGACGAAGCGCAAGUGACGGUACCUGGAGAAGAAGCACCGGCCAACUACGUGCCAGCAGCCGCGGUAAUACGUAGGGUGCGAGCGUUGUCCGGAAUUACUGGGCGUAAAGAGCUCGUAGGUGGUUUGUCGCGUUGUUCGUGAAAACUCACAGCUUAACUGUGGGCGUGCGGGCGAUACGGGCAGACUAGAGUACUGCAGGGGAGACUGGAAUUCCUGGUGUAGCGGUGGAAUGCGCAGACAUCAGGAGGAACAC